GACGAACGCUGGCGGCGUGCUUAACACAUGCAAGUCGAACGGAAAGGCCCUGCUUUUGUGGGGUGCUCGAGUGGCGAACGGGUGAGUAACACGUGAGUAACCUGCCCUUGACUUUGGGAUAACUUCAGGAAACUGGGGCUAAUACCGGAUAGGAGCUCCUGCUGCAUGGUGGGGGUUGGAAAGUUUCGGCGGUUGGGGAUGGACUCGCGGCUUAUCAGCUUGUUGGUGGGGUAGUGGCUUACCAAGGCUUUGACGGGUAGCCGGCCUGAGAGGGUGACCGGCCACAUUGGGACUGAGAUACGGCCCAGACUCCGAAGGGAGGCAGCAGUGGGGAAUAUUGCACAAUGGGCGGAAGCCUGAUGCAGCAACGCCGCGUGCGGGAUGACGGCCUUCGGGUUGUAAACCGCUGUCGCCUGUGACGAAGCGUGAGUGACGGUAAUGGGUAAAGAAGCACCGGCUAACUACGUG
RNAcentral lists this ribosomal RNA (468 nucleotides) under uncultured bacterium. Its description in RNAcentral is "partial 16S ribosomal RNA". It matches the Rfam family "Bacterial small subunit ribosomal RNA", at positions 28 to 507 of the family's 1533-position model. The record is from RNAcentral.